AUGCAUGAAAAUGGAGAAGUGGGGACAUACAGGUGGAAGAAUGAGUCGCCGAAAUCAGGCUACCUCUAUCGAGGAUCAAGGCGACCUGCUGGGCUGUCUUGCUCGGGGACAGCCACGAUGCGAUGUGGAUCCAAGCUCGCUGUAGCAGACAAGAUCCAUGCCCAUAUCGCCUCCAAGGACGACGACGACAACGAUACUGUCAAGAUCGACAAGCUCACCUCCUCCAUUGCGCAGAUUGACAGGAUGUGCGCAAAGAAACAUUUGAGCUACAGGUUCAGAUAUAAUUACCAUAGAGGAUGA
RNAcentral lists this ribosomal RNA (300 nucleotides) under Triticum aestivum (bread wheat). Its description in RNAcentral is "partial small subunit ribosomal RNA". Lineage: Eukaryota; Viridiplantae; Streptophyta; Magnoliopsida; Poales; Poaceae. The record is from RNAcentral.